Neofelis nebulosa (Clouded leopard) is the source of this 2966-nucleotide long non-coding RNA. RefSeq lists it as uncharacterized. NCBI's taxonomy places the organism in Eukaryota, Metazoa, Chordata, Mammalia, Carnivora, Felidae. The transcript has 4 exons. The record is from RefSeq and is a predicted model, not a curated record.
GUUUUGGAGGUUGGGGAUUCCAAGAUCAAGAUGCCAGCAGAUACGGUGUGUGAGAGCCUACUUCCUGGUUUAUAGAUGGCCAUCUUUUCACUGUGCUCUUUCUGCGUGAUGGAAGAGGUAGCUACUAUCCAACUUAUCCAAGUUUAAGCCAUAAGAAAAUGCAUGGACUUCUCUACCUGAGAAGAAACUGGAAAGAAAAAAAAAUAACACAGAAUCCAAGCAUGAGCUGAAGAAACUGGAGCCCCAGGAACUGAAGGGACUUCAGACUGCAGCUAGGCCGUCGUGGACAAGCUGACUUCGAAUCAAAACUAAACCACACUAAACUAAAAUUACACAAAGCAUGAGAUUGAGAUAAGGGGAUGACAAGUAUCCAGCUGCAAUCUGCUAAAUAACAUGAUGAUAAAUAUGGGCUCUAUCGCUCCAAUAACAAUGCUGCAGACUUACCAGAUCAGAAGCUUUUUGGAUCCAUCUGAAUAAGAGGAGUACCUGAUAGACUUUUCACCUAUGGAAGGCUGACAGCAAGGAGAGAAAGCAGAAACUUCCUUUGUCUUUAUCAUAAUGCUGGUGAGGAGGAAGAGGGGAAGAAUCAAGAGUGCUUCAACCUUUGCAUGGAAAUCACAUAUGUAACAUGAAAGUAUUUCUCUGCUAAUGAUUAUCUAUUAAUUUGGGGGAGAGUUAGGAGGACUAUAUGUUUUGAAUCCCCAAUAACUGCCAGGCAUAAUAGCAGGCAUUUUGCCUAACGAAAAAGAACUAACAUUUGCUAAAUGUCUCUAGAUACUAGAAACCAGGCUCCUUUCUAUAUAUACAUUUCAUUGAAUCCACUAAUCCUCAGAAUGUGAAACCUUCUUUUUGGCAAGUGAAGAAAUAAUUUCCAAAGGUUUGCAGACAAAGCGAGUAAGUAGAAGAGGCAGGGAUUAAACAGGUCUGAACAAUCACCACAUUUUACUCUUUCAAAAAUACCAAGUUAGUACAACCAGGAAAGUAAAAAUCCUAUUAACAACUAGGGGAUCAUCGAUACAGCACUUCUUAGAGUUAUUAUAUUAUUAACAUUUUUUUCAAAUGCAGUUUCUAUAUUGAAGGGAAUGUAAUAUGCAAAUAUUUUAAAGGGUCUUACAGGUAAUUAAAAAUAUCAAAGACAUUAAAAAGCAUCCCAGGUAUUUUUGUUUUCAUUCCAAAAUUUUCCAACAAACCUUUUUUUUUUCUUUUUUAAGCCUAAGGUAAAUUUCAGAACAACCAUUAUCAACAUUAUUUAAAUCUCUUAAUAGAUGGAGACUAAAGUAUUAAAGUUGCAUCACUAUGGAUGAAGAGCUUCAUUCUCUUAGAAUGGUUGUCUUGUCAAUUCUCUGAAUUUAUUUCAUAAUUGCUGAUACACAUCUUCUUACAUAAUCCUGUCACUUAAGAGAAUGGCUGGAGGCCUACCCAUUUCUCAUCCAGGUUUUUUCAAAUCUCUCCUCUCUCAUCUGAUCUCAUAGUUUCUCUGCUGUUUUUGUCUGGUGACCAUCCUCACUAAAUACAUUAGGUUCUAGACUUUUUUUUUUUUUUUUUAAUAUCAAAGCCAUUUCUCCUGGUAUGUUCUAAGCAUAUUGAGGGAAAGGACAAAAUGUUAUCAUUUUUUUCUGUUAUUUACAAUACCCAUUAACAGGCAGAUACCAAAAGAGAUACAUGACAGUCAAGAACUAUGGAUUAGAUUUAAGAUCAAAUGUAUAGGUUUGUGAUCAAAUCCUUUUGUGUCACUUACUUAGCUGUGCAAACUUAGGCAAAUUAAUUAACUCUCAUUUAUAAAAUGGAAACCCAAAAGCUUUACAGGUUUUUUCAUGAAACUUUAUAAAGUUGUCUCACAGCCCUUAUUUUCAAAGAAUAGCCAGCGGUUAUUGGAAAUAUACCAAUAGUGUACAUUGAAUAAGUUACUUAGCCUUGUUAAGGCAUAGUUUUCUUGUCCACAAAAUGAAUAUGAAAAUAAUUGUUAUCUCACAGGACUAUAAUGGCUAUUGAAUAAGGUGAUAUAACUACAUUUCUUAGCAGAGUGUUUCCAUAAACGUUCAACUAUUUCAACAGUUUGACCACGUGCCCCAAAAUGACACCUGACAUUCCGUCUUCUUAAAUCCAGUCUACUUCCUCAGUCCCUGCGUGCUUUGCUUAUCCUGGAAGAAGUCUAGAACUUCAAGUAGAAGAGAAGAGGACAGAAGUUGUCUGCUAGAACAAGAACAAAUGGCUAAACUAGAAUGGAGGAUGAAGGGUCCGAGAGUUGAAUAACUGCCCUUAUAUUGUUAAGUGAUAAGAGAUACUCAUGUGAAAUCAUAUUGUCAAACAGGAAACAAAUAAUAAAAGGAAUGUUAUGAGUCUUUUGAAAUGCGGCAAAAGGAGCGAUGGUUAAAAUUUUAACAAGUGAGAGUCAUUAGUUAAACAAAUCCUGACAGCUUCACAGUCACAGACACCUAACAAAGGCUUGAUUUGUGAGACACCCUUAAUAGUCCCUUUGCAUUUCCCUCAAACAUUCCGUUUUGUUCCUCUACUGUGGACCCUAAAGUGUCAUUCCCUAUUUCUCUCUGCUAACCAUAUAUGUUUAAAAAGUAUAGCUAACGUUUCCCUUCAUCAAUGAUCAGAAGAGAGAUUCUCUCCUGCAUCUUGCUGUAUUGAUCCUCUUUAAAAGGAGGGACAUUGCUGACAAAAAUGAAUCAAUUGAUGCCUUUAAGCUUUCAGAAUGAAGACUUCCUUUCUUAGGUUUUGCCAUUUUCUCUCAAAUGAUAAAACAGCAGUUGGUUCUCUUUGCCCCACUCUAAAUAAGACUAAAAGGUUAUGGAUUAUGCCAUACAUAAUUUAUAGUACUUAAGACAAAGGCGACCUGAUAGAAAUACACUUUAAUGAACACCUACCAAAUGCGAGGCUAUAUGGUAUUUAAUUUACAUGUAAUUCUCUUGUAAUUCUCAUAACGGUAUAAUGGGGUAGGAAAUAUUAACCUUAUUUUG